RNAcentral lists this transfer RNA (72 nucleotides) under Camelus bactrianus (Bactrian camel). It matches the Rfam family "tRNA". From Rfam's summary of the family: Transfer RNA (tRNA) molecules are approximately 80 nucleotides in length. Their secondary structure includes four short double-helical elements and three loops (D, anti-codon, and T loops). Further hydrogen bonds mediate the characteristic L-shaped molecular structure. tRNAs have two regions of fundamental functional importance: the anti-codon, which is responsible for specific mRNA codon recognition, and the 3' end, to which the tRNAs corresponding amino acid is attached (by aminoacyl-tRNA synthetases). tRNAs cope with the degeneracy of the genetic code in two manners: having more than one tRNA (with a specific anti-codon) for a particular amino acid; and 'wobble' base-pairing, i.e. permitting non-standard base-pairing at the 3rd anti-codon position. The record is from Rfam by way of RNAcentral. RNAcentral also lists the same sequence under 2 other names. Lineage: Eukaryota; Metazoa; Chordata; Mammalia; Artiodactyla; Camelidae.
GGGGUUGUAACUCAGUAGUAGAGCACAUGCUUAGCAUCCAUGAGAUCCUGGGUUCAAUCCCUAGUAUCUCCG